GUAGCUGGCUCCUAGGAGCAUCUGUGCACGCCCGUCAUU
RNAcentral lists this ribosomal RNA (39 nucleotides) under Psathyrella sp. Its description in RNAcentral is "18S ribosomal RNA". Lineage: Eukaryota; Fungi; Basidiomycota; Agaricomycetes; Agaricales; Psathyrellaceae. The record is from RNAcentral.